This 336-nucleotide unclassified non-coding RNA is filed under the name soil metagenome. RNAcentral's name for it is "partial contains 5.8S ribosomal RNA, internal transcribed spacer 2, and large subunit ribosomal RNA". The stretch from base 1 to 120 matches the Rfam family "5.8S ribosomal RNA", at positions 35 to 154 of the family's 154-position model. The record is from RNAcentral.
GAUGAAGAACGUAGCGAAAUGCGAUAAGUAAUGUGAAUUGCAGAAUUCAGUGAAUCAUCGAAUCUUUGAACGCACAUUGCGCCCCUUGGUAUUCCGAGGGGCAUGCCUGUUCGAGCGUCAUUUCAACCCCUCAAGCUUAGCUUGGUGUUGGGCUGCGCCAGCGUUGCUGGCGGGCCUUAAAAUCAGUGGCGGUGCCGUUUGGGCUCCAAGCGUAGUAGCAUCUCUCGCUCUGGAGACCCGGCGGUUGCUUGCCAGACAAUCACUAAAAAAACAAAAGGUUUGACCUCGGAUCAGGUAGGGAUACCCGCUGAACUUAAGCAUACAAUAAGCGGAGGA